GAAAUGCGAUAAGUAGUGUGAAUUGCAGAAUUCAGUGAAUCAUCGAAUCUUUGAACGCACAUUGCGCCCUUUGGUAUUCCUUAGGGCAUGCCUGUUCGAGCGUCAUUUAAACCCUUCAAGCUCAGCUUGGUGUUGGGUGACUGUCCGCCGCCGCCCCCUGGGGUGGGGUUGCGGACUCGCCCCAAAUCCAUUGGCAGCCCACGCGGUGGUGGCUUCGAGCGCAGCACAGUCGGCGCCCGGAGCUCUGGUGGGAUGGCGUCCAGCAAGCUAUAUUUUCAGGCUUGACCUCGGAUCAGGUAGGGAUACCCGCUGAACUUAAGC
RNAcentral lists this unclassified non-coding RNA (321 nucleotides) under plant metagenome. Its description in RNAcentral is "partial contains 5.8S ribosomal RNA, internal transcribed spacer 2, and large subunit ribosomal RNA". The stretch from base 1 to 105 matches the Rfam family "5.8S ribosomal RNA", at positions 50 to 154 of the family's 154-position model. The record is from RNAcentral.